Molecule: long non-coding RNA, 418 nt
Organism: Gossypium arboreum
Lineage: Eukaryota; Viridiplantae; Streptophyta; Magnoliopsida; Malvales; Malvaceae
Exons: 2
Source: RefSeq, a predicted model, not a curated record
AUUCAGUUUCCAAAUAGAUAAGACGGGAGAUAAACUUUAGAAAGAAUAGAGAUAUUUGGGAGCAUGUGAAAGUCCAGGGGACAUUUGGCAAGUUGUACGAGGGUGGAUGCUAAUUUGCUAAGCCCAUGUUUUGUGUCUAAAAUUUAGGAUAAGGAAUCCCCAAUCUAAUGCCAAUCCCAUUUUUGUAAGUGUGUUUUCAGACGGAAUUAACAUUCAUUCUGGUCCGGGAAGGGAAAACAGGAUCCAUGAGCAGUGUGCAGUGUACAAUGUCAAAAAGUGGCGUCUCUGAGUUUGUCAGCGCAAUUUCAUUGUUUAUUUAAAAAAGAAAAAUUGGAAUUUCAUUGAAAACUAUUGUAAAAAAUUAUAAAUUAUAGUGAAAUGAAAGGUGGAGGAGAGCAGAGAAAGACAAGUUUGAAAA